GACGAACGCUGGCGGCGUGCUUAACACAUGCAAGUCGAACGGAAAGGCCCUGCUUUUGUGGGGUGCUCGAGUGGCGAACGGGUGAGUAACACGUGAGUAACCUGCCCUGGACUUUGGGAUAACUUCAGGAAACUGGGGCUAAUACCGGAUAGGAGCUCCUGCUGCAUGGUGGGGGUUGGAAAGUUUCGGCGGUUGGGGAUGGACUCGCGGCUUAUCAGCUUGUUGGUGGGGUAGUGGCUUACCAAGGCUUUGACGGGUAGCCGGCCUGAGAGGGUGACCGGCCACAUUGGGACUGAGAUACGGCCCAGACUCCUACGGGAGGCAGCAGUGGGGAAUAUUGCACAAUGGGCGGAAGCCUGAUGCAGCAACGCCGCGUGCGGGAUGACGGCCUUCGGGUGGUAAACCGCUUUCGCCUGUGACGAAGCGUGAGUGACGGUAAUGGGUAAAGAAACACCGGCUAACUACGU
This 467-nucleotide ribosomal RNA is filed under the name uncultured bacterium. Its description in RNAcentral is "partial 16S ribosomal RNA". It matches the Rfam family "Bacterial small subunit ribosomal RNA", at positions 28 to 506 of the family's 1533-position model. The record is from RNAcentral.